GACGAACGCUGGCGGCGUGCUUAACACAUGCAAGUCGAACGGAAAGGCCCUGCUUUUGUGGGGUGCUCGAGUGGCGAACGGGUGAGUAACACGUGAGUAACCUGCCCUUGACUUUGGGAUAACUUCAGGAAACUGGGGCUAAUACCGGAUAGGAGCUCCUGCUGCAUGGUGGGGGUUGGAAAGUUUCGGCGGUUGGGGAUGGACUCGCGGCUUAUCAGCUUGUUGGUGGGGUAGUGGCUUACCCAGGCUUUGACGGGUAGCCGGCCUGAGAGGGGGACCGGCCACAUUGGGACUGAGAUACGGCCCAGACUCCUACGGGAGGCAGCAGGGGGGAAUAUUGCACAAUGGGCGGAAGCCUGAUGCAGCAACGCCGCGUGCGGGAUGACGGCCUUCGGGGUGUAAACCGCUUUCGCCUGUGACGAAGCGGGAGUGACGGUAAUGGGUAAAGAAGCACCGGCUAACUACGUG
RNAcentral lists this ribosomal RNA (468 nucleotides) under uncultured bacterium. RNAcentral describes it as "partial 16S ribosomal RNA". It matches the Rfam family "Bacterial small subunit ribosomal RNA", at positions 28 to 507 of the family's 1533-position model. The record is from RNAcentral.